Molecule: RNase P RNA, 388 nt
Filed under: Gammaproteobacteria bacterium
Lineage: Bacteria; Pseudomonadati; Pseudomonadota; Gammaproteobacteria
Description: RNase P RNA component class A
Rfam family: Bacterial RNase P class A
About the family: Ribonuclease P (RNase P) is a ubiquitous endoribonuclease, found in archaea, bacteria and eukarya as well as chloroplasts and mitochondria.
Source: RNAcentral
CGAGUCAACCAAGUAGUCGCUGUAUUGUUAUUUUUUAACAUAUAGAGGAAAGUCCGGACACAACAGAGCAUGGUGCCGGUUAACGACCGGGAGGUGCAAGCCUACGGCAAGUGCAACAGAAAAUAAACCGCCUGACCACUCACUUGAUAUUUUUAAGAUUAAAAAUAUCAAGUGAGUGGUCAGGUAAGGGUGAAAUGGUGCGGUAAGAGCGCACCGCAUUUAUGGUAACAUAAAUGGUCAAGGUAAACCCCACCAAGUGCAAGACCAAAUAGGAAGAUAAUGUGUUGCUCGCACAGUCUUCGGGUAGGUUGCAAAGAAAUAUUUGGCAACAAAUAUUCAAGAUGAAUGACUACUCUCGACAGAAUCCGGCUUAUUGUUGGCUCACUCU